CCGGGCGACCGGCGCACGGGUGAGUAACACGUAUGCAACCUGGCCGUGACAGAUGGAUAACCGGGAGAAAUCCCGCCUAAUACAGCAUGACGCCGGGAAGGGACAUCCCUUUCCGGCCAAAGGGGGCGACUCCGGUCACGGAUGGGCAUGCGGCGCAUUAGGUAGUUGGUGGGGCAACGGCCCACCAAGCCGACGAUGCGUAGGGGUUCUGAGAGGAAGGUCCCCCACAUUGGAACUGAGACACGGUCCAAACUCCUACGGGAGGCAGCAG
Molecule: ribosomal RNA, 271 nt
Filed under: uncultured bacterium
Lineage: Bacteria
Description: partial 16S ribosomal RNA
Rfam family: Bacterial small subunit ribosomal RNA
Source: RNAcentral